GCUCAUAUAGCUCAGGCGGUAGAGCACUUCCUUGGUAAGGAAGAGGUCACUGGUUCGAAUCCAGUUAUGAGCACCA
Molecule: transfer RNA, 76 nt
Filed under: Gammaproteobacteria bacterium
Lineage: Bacteria; Pseudomonadati; Pseudomonadota; Gammaproteobacteria
Also listed under: 1 other name
Description: tRNA-Thr
Rfam family: tRNA
About the family: Transfer RNA (tRNA) molecules are approximately 80 nucleotides in length. Their secondary structure includes four short double-helical elements and three loops (D, anti-codon, and T loops).
Source: RNAcentral